GUAUAUGUGGAUUAAUAAGUGCUCUGAUAUUCAAUUAUAAUGGUUGAUUGUCUCACACUUUUCAAAACGUUGUUAUACAGACACUUGUUUGCAGAGACGUGACAUCGUGAAAACAUGAAGACUCUGAUUCUUGCUCUUUUUGUAUUGUUGGCUAUCAGCCAGAGUGAAGCCUUGAGGUGUCACUGUGGAGGCAAGAAGAUAUGUCUAGGUGGCCAAGAGACCUGCCGCAAUACACACACCCGCUGUGGCAGUGCCAAAAUCGAAGGUGCAACCAUGUACACACCUACCACAUACUUCCAACGCUGCAUGACGAGAAUAGAAUGCACGGGGUUUAAUAAUAUGGCUGGAUCAUCUGCCAGAUGCUGCGACACGGAUCUGUGCAACAAAGCUGUUUUAUUAUGACUGUCAACACAGCUGAGAAAUUAAUACUAAGAUGUCA
Long non-coding RNA from Cottoperca gobio, 439 nucleotides. RefSeq lists it as uncharacterized. Lineage: Eukaryota; Metazoa; Chordata; Actinopteri; Perciformes; Bovichtidae. The transcript has 3 exons. The record is from RefSeq and is a predicted model, not a curated record.